RNAcentral lists this ribosomal RNA (254 nucleotides) under uncultured bacterium. RNAcentral's name for it is "partial 16S ribosomal RNA". It matches the Rfam family "Bacterial small subunit ribosomal RNA", at positions 524 to 776 of the family's 1533-position model. The record is from RNAcentral.
UACGGGGGGGGCAAGCGUUGUUCGGAAUUACUGGGCGUAAAGGGCUCGUAGGUGGCCAACUAAGUCAGACGUGAAAUCCCUCGGCUUAACCGGGGAACUGCGUCUGAUACUGGAUGGCUUGAGUUUGGGAGAGGGACGCGGAAUUCCAGGUGUAGCGGUGAAAUGCGUAGAUAUCUGGAGGAACACCGGUGGCGAAGGCGGCGUCCUGGACCAAUACUGACACUGAGUGAGCGAAAGCGUGGGGAGCGAACAGG